This 253-nucleotide ribosomal RNA is filed under the name uncultured bacterium. Its description in RNAcentral is "partial 16S ribosomal RNA". It matches the Rfam family "Bacterial small subunit ribosomal RNA", at positions 524 to 776 of the family's 1533-position model. The record is from RNAcentral.
UACGUAGGUGACAAGCGUUGUCCGGAUUUACUGGGCGUAAAGGGCGCGUAGGCGGCCUUCUAAGUCAGACGUGAAAUCCCCCGGCUUAACCUGGGAACUGCGUCUGAUACUGGAGGGCUUGAGUGCGGGAGAGGGAUGUGGAAUUCCAGGUGUAGCGGUGAAAUGCGUAGAUAUCUGGAGGAACACCGGUGGCGAAGGCGGCAUCCUGGACCGACACUGACGCUGAGGCGCGAAAGCUAGGGUAGCAAACGGG